RNAcentral lists this ribosomal RNA (460 nucleotides) under uncultured bacterium. RNAcentral's name for it is "partial 16S ribosomal RNA". It matches the Rfam family "Bacterial small subunit ribosomal RNA", at positions 338 to 795 of the family's 1533-position model. The record is from RNAcentral.
CCUACGGGGGGCAGCAGUGAGGAAUAUUGGUCAAUGGACGAGAGUCUGAACCAGCCAAGUAGCGUGAAGGAUGACUUCCCUAUGGGUUGUAAACUUCUUUUAUAUGGGAAUAAUAUGUUCCACGUGUGGGAUUUUGUAUGUACCAUAUGAAUACGGAUCGGCUAACUCCGUGCCAGCAGCCGCGGUAAGACGGAGGAUCCGAGCGUUAUCCGGAUUUAUUGGGUGUAAAGGGAGCGUAGGUGGAUUGUUAAGUCAGUUGUGAAAGUUUGCGGCUCAACCGUAAAAUUGCAGUUGAAACUGGCAGUCUGGAGUACAGUAGAGGUGGGCGGAAUUCGUGGUGUAGCGGUGAAAUGCUUAGAUAUCACGAAGAACUCCGAUGGCGAAGGCAGCUCACUGGACUGCAACUGACACUGAGGCUCGAAAGUGUGGGUAUCAAACAGGAUUAGAUACCCUGGUAGUC